Anolis carolinensis (green anole) is the source of this 538-nucleotide long non-coding RNA. RefSeq lists it as uncharacterized. The record is from RefSeq and is a predicted model, not a curated record. The transcript is spliced from 3 exons. Lineage: Eukaryota; Metazoa; Chordata; Lepidosauria; Squamata; Anolidae.
GAGACAGUCAAACAGAUUCAAGAUCACUGUUCCUUUCUCUUGACACAUGGCAACUGAAAUUGAAAAUAGGAAGAUGGCACAUUUACUAACCACCCUAUCACAUUGAGAGGGGAAAGCAUGGAUGACUAUCCCUUUAAGAGUAGAGAAUCGCUCCUCUUAUGUCAUCAGCAGUCCCCAUCACAAUCACACUCACACUCACACAUGGAAACUUAAGAGCUGAAAAUACAUUCAUCUUACAUUCAUCACAAGGGUACAGUAUCCUCAUGAAGCAAUUUUCUCAUAGUCAUGGAUUGGAAACAGUUUUCAGCUGUAGACAGUACAACAAACCUACAGGGGCAAGGCAUGGGAAGUUCUCAUUGGACCACUGGGUCCACUUCCUCCUGGGACGAUAAGAUAAUAAUAUGAAAAUGGUUCAGGGAAGAGUGAACAAAUAAAGGAUCGUCCCAAGUGACCUUUUUUUCUGAAGGAGGACAAUGAGAACCGCCAGUCUGUGUCUCCAUGAUGAGAAAUGGAGUUAAUAAACAAAAUGUUGAUAACA